UACAGAGGGGGCAAGCGUUGUUCGGAAUUACUGGGCGUAAAGAGCUCGUAGGCGGUUUGUUGCGUCGGCUGUGAAAUCCCGAGGCUCAACCUCGGGUCUGCAGUCGAUACGAGCAAACUAGAGUGUUGCAGGGGAGACUGGAAUUCCUGGUGUAGCGGUGAAAUGCGCAGAUAUCAGGAGGAACACCGGUGGCGAAGGCGGGUCUCUGGGCAACAACUGACGCUGAGGAGCGAAAGCGUGGGGAGCGAACAGG
RNAcentral lists this ribosomal RNA (253 nucleotides) under uncultured bacterium. Its description in RNAcentral is "partial 16S ribosomal RNA". It matches the Rfam family "Bacterial small subunit ribosomal RNA", at positions 524 to 776 of the family's 1533-position model. The record is from RNAcentral.